CCCCCCCACAAGAGACGGGCCCGGCGCUGAGUUGGGGGGGAGCCCGGGUGGGGCUGCCGCCUCCUUGCACCGCGCCCCGGGAGGGGCUUCCUUCCAGUUCUCCUUCUUACGGCUUCACCACUGGUGUGGUCAACACAGCAGGCAAAAUUAACCCGACUAAAGUGUUUGAUCUACAGAUAAGAUACUCCUAUGCAUUUUGCAAGUUCAGUUUAGGAUGACCUGCACUGAUACCUGUUUUCACUAACUGGAAGAGAUCUGAAGAGGACUUUUGCUCUUAGGAGGACAGACCUUCAUCAAAGCUGCUGCAGGUCCAUCAGCUUCGUUCCCCUGGAACUAAAGAGCCUUGUAAGAACUUCACGAGGACCAUUCAUCCAGGGAGUCCUCAACCUCAGUUCUCACAGACAGAAGAUGGAGAUCUGAGAGGCUUACAGGAGAAAAAGUUAAGGAGCCCGUCAAGAAGAGGAUGGACAGACCAAAGAAAACAGCCCACGGCAGCAGACACCUGAGAUACAGCCUGGAAAUCUCUGGGAGGACAGGGCUCGGUGCUGAGAUGAAGAUGCUCAAGACACGUCCACGGGAUGAGCAAACGUGCUCGCUUCCGAGGUCCUCUCCACCCGCCGGCGUGUCCCAGCCUACAAACGACUGUUCUCGCACGCUGGGGUCUCUCUCCAUCCCCCUCUCUCUCUGUCUGUCUCCCACUCUCUCCAUCUCUGCCUUUGUCUUUUUCUGUCUGUCUCUGUCUGUCUCUCUGUUUCUCUCAGAAUGGUGCUAACAAGGAGGGAGGGGUGGAGGAUUGAAACCUGCUCCGUCAAAAUUAUUUGAUCUGUUUCCAUCUUUCCGUCGGGCCCCAGUGAACACCCCAUGAGCUCUCUGCUGCCAUGUUAAUAUCCCGGGAGAUGCUAUCUGGUGGCCCACAUCUCAUGCCAGAGGCAACACCCGCUCCCAAAGAAUCCCAGCCCGCGUCCCACCCUUCUGAGAGAGGCAGAGCCCAUCUCCCUUGACGCCUGUGUGGCUGAGGCGGUUUUUUCUUGAACUCUGCACCUUGGGAACAUUUUUAUGUGCCUCUUGCCAAACCUGAAACUUGAUGUUGGGAUUGUUGGUGAUCCUCCAAGAGGCCGGGCCUCCAGUUCAGGCACCAGAACACACCUGGCCACUCCCAGAAGCUCUUUUCCCAAGUGCCAGGAAGCUGCACCUCGUCUUCGGGGUAGGAGCAGCUUGGGAGAAUGGCCCAGAAUCUUCCAGAAUCACUUUCAUUCUGUUAUCUUGAAACAAACACAUUAACCUGCAGAUGUGGCUACUGGGUGUAGCCUCUAUUGAGACUGAAUCAAUUGGCCCCCAGUGCAAACACAUCGUUAAAUGAAUAUGCACGUAACAUAUUCACUUAUAAUUGAUGUGUUUGCACGCUUUUCCCUGUCUUUUGCCACUCACCCUUUGUUUUAAAUAUCACUGACCGCCUGCCGACCAUGCCACUCCUCCAUGCACUAUUAUUGAGACAUGGAGUGAUUUAAAGAAACACAUAUAAACAUCUCCCUCUGACACACUGUUCGUUCCACCCGAAUCCCUUUAAGGAGACGUAUAUUCCUAUGGUUUAGAUCAUGUAAGUUACUUUUCCAUGCAUUGUCUUUUCUAAUAUUUAUUUAUUUGGAUUUAUUUGGCUGCGCAGGGCUGUGGUUGUGGCACUUGGAAUCUUUAGUUGCGGUGUGUGACCUCUUAGUCUCGGCACGCGGGAUCUGGCUCCCCGAGCAGGAACCGAACCCGGGGCCCCCUGCGUUGGGAGCGCAGAGUCUUAGGCACUGGGCCACCAGGCAAGUCCCUGGAUCAUAUACUUUAUUAAUGAAAAAGGCACAGUGAGAAAACUGGCUCUGCGUGUUCAUCUGCAGAGGGUAACUCUGCGGGGAGGGGUUUAAGAGGAGGCACGACUGAGACUAUUUCUCAUCUUCCGUCAGGACAUUCAAUGCCUGGGCCGGAUGGUGAGGAUGGGUGGGCAGUCAGGCGCCGAGUAUGAAGGCAGAGCUCACCGCAGCCAAGGGGCCGUAUUCUACACAGGAGCCCCAUCCUCAAGGGGUCCGCAGAAGCUUCUGGAACAUUCGCUGGUGGAGAUCACUGUGGGCACACAAGGGGCCAGGGGAGGGGUGUCAGCAGCUUCUUUCCCGAUUCAGUUUUGUGUCCCUGUUGAGCUCCACCUCCUCUCCCACCCCUGCUCUAUCCCCGCCAGGUCCAUGCUCUGCUUCUCUCUUCUUGCGUCUAGGCUCCAGGAGGCAGAGAUGAGCAUGUGGGCGAGCUCCCCAAGCCCGCUGGGUUCCAUGUGGGUCAGGCCUCUGAGUAACACUGGGUGGGGGGUGGGGUGUGUGUGUGCGCCUGUCUCCCUCCCCUCGGGAUCACUUGUGUUCUUGACUGAAGGUUAGGGCUAGAGUCAGAGUCAGGCUGCCCUGUCAAUCAGCCUUCUCCCUUCCCCCCACUCCUCCCUUCUCAUCUCUGCCUGUAUCUCCUUGUCUGUCCCCAUCUGUUUCUCCCUCUCCUCCCCCUUCUUCUCUGAGUCUUGGAAUCACAUGCCCUUCCCUUGCAUUUCCCGGCAGCAGGAAGUGGUCCUGGCUCCCUGGGGGUGGAAGCCCCAGGAAGCUACACUUGGCCUUCAGGCUCCUCUGUACCCUGUGUUCCUGUGCCUUGUCAGCAUUCCCUUUCUCAAAACUCCUCUUGGUUCCCCAGGUCCACUCCUUCUUGCCAGGACCCAAGAGACACAGAGUUGUGGGUCAGAUGUGAGUCACAUGGCUGUGCUUCUCCCAGGUGCCCGGAGGUCCCCCACCCCCGGAGCAGGGCCUCCUUUGCCAUACCUCACCAGGACCUCACUGCCUUCCCCAGCCACCCCACAAACUCUGGACCCCCGAAUGAGAGCUGAGCUACGUGAAGGGGCAGAGUGCAGACCCUGUGGGUUACAACAUGCUUCCUCCUGGGGUCCCCAGUCAAGGGGGAUGACGCAACAUUUCAUCAGGUUAAGUGAUGAGGCGGCUACCCAGUGUUAGCUCUCAUCAGGCUCUCUAAGGCUGAGGAGGCUGUAUGAAAGCACCUUGAAAGUCGUCAUGCAGUAACCCAGUGGACGUGCGCCCAUCUGGCUGGUGUAGCGGCAGCCUCCCAACUAGGCGGGGAGGUCUUGGGUCAGGAAGGUGGCUUUUGUGUAGUUUGCUGCCCCUCUGCAGGGUCUGCCCUCGUGCCAUACGUGCACCCAAGAGCUUGGGAAAUGAUGCCUGCUCCACAGCGACUAUUCAGCUUGUGAUUUUUGAAGGAAGGCAAGACAGUCUUCUGGGACUUCCUAGAGGAAGGCAAAGAGUACCUACCCAUGUCUAAACUCUUAAAAGUAGAGGCCAUUACUUUGCCUAAUUCUAGAAUUAUAUCACAAAUUCUGUACAAAUCAUAUUUAAAUGGAUAGUCCUAACAUAAAUGACUCUGAAGGGAAUACAUCAGGUAGUAUAGGUUGACUGGCUCCGCUCCUUCAAUUAUAUCUGUUUCCGCUAUAGAAGCUGAUUAUGCAAAAAAAAAAAAAAAAAGUCACUUUGCUCAUUCAGUAUUCUUAGGGCUAGGAAUGGCUUUGUGACUCAUUUCUCAAAAGUAAAAUAAACAUUCCAAUGGUACCGUCAAUUUCCCUUUUGUUUUUACCAUCUUGGAAUGCAAACAUGAUGGCUGGAACUUCAGCAGCAAACCUUGGGAAGAGGAGGCGAUAGCAAGGAGGGAAAGAUGAGAAUUGCAGAGACAGUGAGGUGUUGACCUUGAUACUUGUAAGCCACUGAACUACUGAGAUCAAUCAGCUACCUCCAGAAUUGUUUGUGCAUUUGUGUGUGUGUGUGUGUGUGAGAGAGAGAGAGAGAACUACUUGUAAGCCACUGAACUACUGAGAUCAAUCAACUACCUCCAGAAUUGUUUGUGCAUUUGUGUGUGUGUGUGUGUGUGUGUGUGUGUGUGUGUGUGUGUGAGACAGAACAUUAACCUUUCUUUAUUGUUGUUUAGCAGCUCAGUCGUGACCAACUCUUUUGUGAUCCCAUGGACUGUAGCCCCCCAGGCUCCCCUGUCCACGGGAUCUCCCAGAAUACUGGAGUGGGUUGCUGUUUCCUUCUCCAGGGGAUCUUCCUGACCCAGGGAUCAAACUUGAGUCUCCUGCAUUGGCAGGCAAAUUCUUUACUGAUGGGCCAUCAGGGAAGCUUGCUGCUGCUGCUGCUGCUAAGUCGCUUCAGUCAUGUCCGACUCUGUGUGACCCCAUAGACGGCAGCCCACCAGGCUCCCCCAUCCCUGGGAUUCUCCAGGCAAGAACACUGGAGUGGGUUGCCAUUUCCUUCUCCAGUGCAGGAAAGUGAAAAGUGAAAGUGAAAUCGCUCAGUUGUGCCUGACUCUUAGCGACCCCAUGGACUGCAGCCCACCAGGCUCCUCCGUCCGUGGGAUUUUCCAGUACUCUUGCCUGGAAAAUCCCAUGGACGGAGGAGAAGACUAAAUCCCCAUUAAUUAAUUAUUCUGUUUCUUGUAGCCAAAGAUAGCCCUAUCUGGUACAGUCAAAAAUGUGUUGAUAAAAUAAAAUUACUUCUCUUUCUCCAACACCUCAUUGGCUUUUCACGUUGAAAUCUGCAUAGGGCAGUUUUCUAAGUGAGAGGGUUCGUUCAGGAUUAAUUCAAGCCUGUUUGACCCACCACCCUGCCAAAUGCCCGUGACCCCCUUUCACUCUCUUCUUAGCAGCUCUUGAGCCCCUUGAGAGCAGAUGCCACGUGACAUUUACAUCCCUAGGGAUCAACACCACAGUUUUCAUGUAACUGGCAUUGGAUUAAAGAUGGGCCCUGAAGAAAGAAAAUAAGCUUCAUAAGGUCCAGAGAGGGCGGUACAGUAACUACCACUUAUUGAGGGACUAAUACAUGCAAACGUUUUCCAGUCCUCAUUUCAGACACAUCAUAAAGUAUCUGUAGCCCCAUUUUACAGAUGAAAAUCCUGACGCUCAAAGAGUUUGCAUAGUUUGGCCUGGAUCCUGAAGCUUAUAAAUGACACAGAGAAAAUGUGAACCCCUAGCUCCCCCAUAGACGUCUUCCCUGUGAGACGAACAGUUCAGAGCGUGGAAACCACCGCGGGGACUUUGUUUUUCUCACCUCAGCAUCUGAAGACAUCAGCAGACCUAGCCAGGUGCCGACCAGCCUUGACACAGACUCUGAGUGAAACCUUCAAAGGGUCUAGAAUUCAAUCCCCGGCAGGUUCCGAGGAGGACGGUCUGGGGCUUUGGAGAAAGCGGCCUUUUCCACCGUCUCAUUUGCAUGCUGGAUGUCUACUGAAAGUUGCUAUGGUGAUCCGUUUGACCAGAAGUUUCCGCUGAAUCAUCCCAACACAUAUAUGAAAACAGAGAUGUGGUUUGGGGACCCAGGGCCCGCAGCCGGGGGAGACGCUUCCAUCUUUCACUUGUGACUCACUCGUGGUCGUGCGUAGGCCCAGCUGGAAGGGAGGCGAGACCUCUGGGGCAGGUGUCGCUCCCCGGAGAGUUUUUGCACGGCAGGGCUCACGCAGUCAGUCCCCUCUGGGGACGCAAAGAGUGGAGCAGGAAAGGAGGAGCAGCACCCGAGAGAUGCCCUGUUCCCCCGGCUUAUUCCAGGGCUCAGGUCCUCUGGGUAGACGUCUCUGUUUGGAGACAUCCCCCAUGCCCCCUCACCAACAGCCAAGGCCGCCGUGGGUGCCUGGGUUCAGGAGGUCCAUCUGGGAGCCGACCUGAAAAGGCAGGAGGGGAGGGGGCUCUGAACCGGAGGGGAGGGAGGACCUUACCUGAGUGCUGCGGAUGCUUCUGUGGGCGGUGACCCGCUUCAGGACCUGUCUCUAGGGUAGUUGGCCAAGGGACAGAGUGCCUGGGAGCAGACAGGCUUCUGUUCAGGUCUUUUCUCUCCUCAGGGCAAUCCUGGUCUCUGGCCUUGGCAAACAUCUGAACUUUGACCUUGAUUUCCCUGUGUGCAGAAAUGUAGAAAAGAGUACCUCAUUUGACCUAAGGAAAAAAAAAAAGCACAUCCACAGUGGAGCCUGGUGCAGAGUAUUGCAUGCAAGGAGCAGAAAACACUGUCAUAAUCAGGAAAGGAAAGGAUGACUAUGAUUUCUAAAGAUGCUCAAGAGGUCAAGCCUUAGAACCCUGCUCCUUGUGCUUCGGCUUCAUCUUUCUCCAGAACACAGCUGGCCCGCUCCCGGAAGGUAAGCAUCAGAGAGAAACAAAACAAAGAUGAAACCUGGUGUCUGAUGGGAAGCGGCACGCUUGAUAACCUUCCAAGAACCCCUGGCUUCCGACCUCCUCCAAAGGCCUUUUAUAACUUCCUGAAAAUGCUUUUGCAUUGGGUUUUUAAUUAAACAUUUAAUAUGCAUCAUGCAAAUUUAUUGAUUCUACCAGGGGGAAAAAGAUGACUCUUGUUAUUUGGUCAUCGCCAGCUAAGAAGACUCCUAUUUUCCCGGUGGUUACUAAUGGAGCCCCUAGUUCCAUCCAAGUUUGAAUAGCAGUGCAGGAGCGGGGAGCAUCCUGGUUUGCAAAGUCACCAGCUUGGAGCAGUCGUGUUCAUUUCAGCUUCUCAGACUCAGUCCUCAGACUGAGGAUGCAGGGAGGCACAGGCUGUUGAACAUGAACAUGAGCUCUUGAAAUGGACCCCUUUGUCACGGCGUCUCCUUCUGUUCAUCUCUUCAGUCCCUUCCUGUGACUCUGAAGUUCUGAUCUCUGAAAAGGAUGAUCCAGACUGCCCAGAAAAGUACAGUGAGGAAAUGGCUCAAGGGCCAAGAUCACCUUGCCUGCCUGAUCCAGGAGGGUUAGGAGCCCACCAAGCUGGUGUUAAUGGACCAAAAUUCUGGAAGAAUGAGGAAUCUGGCAUAUCAGAUUCUCAUUUACUGUGGCUCAAUUGCAGACUCUCUCGAUUUUCAGCCUUGUUCACAUUUCUUCUAAAAUUCAUAGAAGGGCUCAUUUCUUGCCUUAUUAAAGGGGAUUGGGACUCCCCUAGUGGUCCGGUGGCUGAGAUUCCACGCUCCCGAUGCAGGAGGCCCGAGUCUGAUCCCUGAUCAGGGAGCUAGAUCCCAUAUGCC
Bos taurus (domestic cattle) is the source of this 7062-nucleotide long non-coding RNA. The record is from Ensembl. Lineage: Eukaryota; Metazoa; Chordata; Mammalia; Artiodactyla; Bovidae.